UACAGAGGUCUCAAGCGUUGUUCGGAUUCAUUGGGCGUGAAGGGUGCGUAGGCGGCGCGGUAAGUCGGGUGUGAAAUCUUGGAGCUUAACUCCGAAACUGCAUUCGAUACUGCCGUGCUUGAGGACUGGAGAGGAGACUGGAAUUUACGGUGUAGCGGUGAAAUGCGUAGAUAUCGUAAGGAAGACCAGUGGCGAAGGCGGGUCUCUGGACAGUUCCUGACGCUGAGGCACGAAGGCCAGGGGAGCAAACAGG
This 253-nucleotide ribosomal RNA is filed under the name uncultured bacterium. RNAcentral describes it as "partial 16S ribosomal RNA". It matches the Rfam family "Bacterial small subunit ribosomal RNA", at positions 524 to 776 of the family's 1533-position model. The record is from RNAcentral.